UUUCCGUAGGUGAACCUGCGGAAGGAUCAUUAUUGAAUAAACAGUGUGGGUUGUUGCUGGCCUUCUGGCAUGUGCACGCCUGCCAUACGUUUCAUUCCCUUCUUUCCACCUGUGCACUAUGUGUAGGCUAUGUAUGCUGUAUUGUCAGGCCCUUCAUAAGGCUUGGUUUAGAGAGGAUGCUUGUCUUUAUGAGACAGGCUCAUCUUGGGCGUACAGGUCUAUGUUUUACACCAACACCAAAUGAAUGUCUUAGAAUGUAUUUUUUCAGGCUCUUGCUAGCCUUUAAACCAUAUACAACUUUCAACAACGGAUCUCUUGGCUCUC
This 324-nucleotide unclassified non-coding RNA is filed under the name plant metagenome. Its description in RNAcentral is "partial contains small subunit ribosomal RNA, internal transcribed spacer 1, and 5.8S ribosomal RNA". The record is from RNAcentral.